This 1367-nucleotide ribosomal RNA is filed under the name [Clostridium] scindens ATCC 35704. RNAcentral describes it as "bacterial LSU rRNA". It matches the Rfam family "Bacterial large subunit ribosomal RNA", at positions 1540 to 2925 of the family's 2925-position model. Lineage: Bacteria; Bacillati; Bacillota; Clostridia; Lachnospirales; Lachnospiraceae. The record is from RNAcentral.
AUCCGUGGCAGGCGUAACCGAAGCCGUGACGCGUACCGACUGCAGUAGGGAGUAUGCGAGCAUGCGUCAGAAAAGCCGCUAUCGCUCAUAUCGCGCCCGUACCGCAAACCGACACAGGUAGAUGAGAGAGAAUCCUAAGGCCGACGGGAGAAGCAUUGUCAAGGAACUCGGCAAAAUGACUCCGUAACUUCGGGAGAAGGAGUGCCAUAGAGAUAUGGCCGCAGAGAAUUGGCCCAAGCAACUGUUUAGCAAAAACACAGGUCUAUGCGAAGCCGCAAGGCGAGGUAUAUGGGCUGACGCCUGCCCGGUGCUGGAAGGUUAAGGGGAGAGGUUAGAGCGAUCGAAGCCUUGAACUUAAGCCCCAGUAAACGGCGGCCGUAACUAUAACGGUCCUAAGGUAGCGAAAUUCCUUGUCGGGUAAGUUCCGACCCGCACGAAAGGCGUAAUGAUUUGGGCACUGUCUCGACAAUGCACCCGGUGAAAUUGAAGUACCAGUGAAGAUGCUGGUUACCCGCGCCAGGACGGAAAGACCCCAUGGAGCUUUACUCCAGCUUGAUACUGGGAUCCGGUAUUGCAUGUACAGGAUAGGUGGGAGGCUAGGAAGCGAUGACGCCAGUCGUCGCGGAGCCGCUGUUGGGAUACCACCCUUGCAGUGCUGGGUUUCUAACCAGCAGCCGUGAACCGGCUGGGGGACAAUGUCAGGCGGGGAGUUUGACUGGGGCGGUCGCCUCCGAAAGGGUAUCGGAGGCGCUCAAAGGUCCUCUCAGAAUGGUCGGAAACCAUUCGCAGAGCGCAAAGGCAGAAGAGGGCUUGACUGCGACACCGACGGGUGGAGCAGGUACGAAAGUAGGACUUAGUGAUCCGGUGGUAUAAAGUGGGAUUGCCAUCGCUCAACGGAUAAAAGCUACCCUGGGGAUAACAGGCUUAUCACUCCCAAGAGUUCACAUCGACGGAGUGGUUUGGCACCUCGAUGUCGGCUCAUCGCAUCCUGGGGCUGAAGUAGGUCCCAAGGGUUGGGCUGUUCGCCCAUUAAAGCGGUACGCGAGCUGGGUUCAGAACGUCGUGAGACAGUUCGGUCCCUAUCCGGCGCGGGCGUAGGAUAUUUGAGAGGAGCUGUCCUUAGUACGAGAGGACCGGGAUGGACUGGCCGCUGGUGGAUCUGUUGCGCCUCCAGGCGCAUGGCAGAGUAGCCAAGCCGGGACGGGAUAAACGCUGAAGGCAUCUAAGCGUGAAGCCCCCCUCGAGAUGAGAUAUCCCUGGCGUUAAGCCAGUAAGACCCCUUGAAGACGACGAGGUAGAUAGGAUAGAGGUGGAAGUGCAGCAAUGCAUGGAGCUGACUAUUACUAAUCGGUCGAGGGCAUGACCAG